RNAcentral lists this ribosomal RNA (724 nucleotides) under uncultured bacterium. RNAcentral's name for it is "bacterial SSU rRNA". It matches the Rfam family "Bacterial small subunit ribosomal RNA", at positions 111 to 823 of the family's 1533-position model. The record is from RNAcentral.
UAACACGUAGGUAACCUGCCCAUGUGCCCGGGAUAACUUCUGGAAACGGAUGCUAAAACCGGAUAGGUAGCAGACAAGCAUUUGACUGCUAUUAAAGUGGCCUUGGCCAUGAACAUGGAUGGACCUGCGGUGCAUUAGCUAGUUGGUGAGGUAACGGCCCACCAAGGCGACGAUGCAUAGCCGGCCUGAGAGGACGGACGGCCACAUUGGGACUGAGACACGGCCCAAACUCCUACGGGAGGCAGCAGUAGGGAAUUUUCGUCAAUGGGGGGAACCCUGAACGAGCAAUGCCGCGUGAGUGAGGAAGGUCUUCGGAUCGUAAAGCUCUGUUGUAAGAGAAAAACGGCACUCAUAGGGAAUGAUGAGUGAGUGAUGGUAUCUUACCAGAAAGUCACGGCUAACUACGUGCCAGCAGCCGCGGUAAUACGUAGGUGGCGAGCGUUAUCCGGAAUGAUUGGGCGUAAAGGGUGCGUAGGUGGCAGAUCAAGUCUGGAGUAAAAGGUAUGGGCUCAACCCGUACUGGCUCUGGAAACUGAUCAGCUAGAGAACAGAAGAGGACGGCGGAACUCCAUGUGUAGCGGUAAAAUGCGUAGAUAUAUGGAAGAACACCGGUGGCGAAGGCGGCCGUCUGGUCUGGAUUCUGACACUGAAGCACGAAAGCGUGGGGAGCAAAUAGGAUUAGAUACCCUAGUAGUCCACGCCGUAAACGAUGAGAACUAGGUGU